RNAcentral lists this ribosomal RNA (497 nucleotides) under uncultured bacterium. Its description in RNAcentral is "partial 16S ribosomal RNA". It matches the Rfam family "Bacterial small subunit ribosomal RNA", at positions 28 to 507 of the family's 1533-position model. The record is from RNAcentral.
GAUGAACGCUGGCGGCGUGCCUAAUACAUGCAAGUCGAGCGAACGGACGAGAAGCUUGCUUCUCUGAUGUUAGCGGCGGACGGGUGAGUAACACGUGGAUAACCUACCUAUAAGACUGGGAUAACUUCUGGAAACCGGAGCUAAUACCUGAUAAUAUUUUGAACCGCAUGGUUCAAAAGUUAAAGACGGUCUUGCUUUCACUUAUAGAUGGAUCCGCGCUGCAUUAGCUAGUUGGUAAGGUAACGGCUUACCAAGGCAACGAUGCAUAGCCGACCUGAGAGGGUGAUCGGCCACACUGGAACUGAGACACGGUCCAGACUCCUACGGGAGGCAGCAGUAGGGAAUCUUCCGAAAUGGGCGAAAGCCUGACGGAGCAACGCCGCGUGAGUGAUGAAGGUCUUCGGAUCGUAAAACUCUGUUAUUAGGGAAGAACAUAUGUGUAAGUAACUGUGCACAUCUUGACGGUACCUAAUCAGAAAGCCACGGCUAACUACGUG